RNAcentral lists this ribosomal RNA (884 nucleotides) under uncultured bacterium. Its description in RNAcentral is "bacterial SSU rRNA". It matches the Rfam family "Bacterial small subunit ribosomal RNA", at positions 96 to 953 of the family's 1533-position model. The record is from RNAcentral.
CGGCGCAAGGGUGAGUAACACGUAGGUAACCUGCCUACAGGACGGGGAUAACUCCGAGAAAUCGGGGCUAAUACCCGAUAAUGUCCCGACACAGCAUUGUGACGGAAUCAAAAGCCGAAAGGUGCCUAUAGAUGGGCCUGCGUUCCAUUAGGUUGUUGGCGGGGUAACGGCCCACCAAGCCUACGAUGGGUAGCUGGUCUGAGAGGAUGAUCAGCCACACUGGAACUGAGACACGGUCCAGACUCCUACGGGAGGCAGCAGUGAGGAAUAUUGCGCAAUGCCCGAAAGGGUGACGCAGCGACGCCGCGUGGAGGAUGAAGGCCCUAUGGGUCGUAAACUCCUUUUGAGGGGGAAGAAUAGUCCCGUACAGCGGGAUUCGACGGUACCUCUCGAAUAAGCACCGGCUAACUACGUGCCAGCAGCCGCGGUAAUACGUAGGGUGCGAGCGUUGUCCGGAAUCACUGGGUGUAAAGGGUCCGCAGGCGGGUUGGUAAGUCGGUGGUGAAAUUCUCAGGCUUAACCUGGGGACUGCCACUGAUACUGCCAGUCUUGAGUACGGAAGAGGAAGAUGGAAUUCCUGGUGUAGCGGUGAAAUGCGUAGAUAUCAGGAAGAACACCGGUGGCGAAGGCGGUCUUCUGGUCCGUCACUGACGCUCAGGGACGAAAGCGUGGGGAGCAAACAGGAUUAGAUACCCUGGUAGUCCACGCUCUAAACGAUGGAUACUCGAUGUCGGCCCCGCUGAGUUCAUGCAUGUCAUGAGCCCAGCGGGGUCGGUGUCCAAGCUAACGCGUUAAGUAUCUCACCUGGGGAGUACGAUCGCAAGGUUGAAACUCAAAGGAAUUGACGGGGGCCCGCACAAGCAGUGAGCAUGUGGUUCAAUUCG